CCCCUAGAUGUUCUGGGUCGCACGCGCGCUACACUGAACAGUUCAACAAGUCUUAACCUUGGCCGAUAGGUCUGGGUAAUCUUUGAACGCUGUUCGUGAUUGGGAUAGACCUUUGCAAUUAUGGGUCUUCAACGAGGAAUUCCUAGUAAACGCAAGUCAUCAGCUUGCAUUGAUUACGUCCCUGCCCUUUGUACACACCGCCCGUCGCACCUACCGAUUGAAUGGUCCGGUGAAAUCUCGGGACGGCGGCUCGGUCGCUUGCGUCCGACUGCUGAAACUUGAUUAAACCAUAUCAUUUAGAGGAAGGUGAAGUCGUAACA
RNAcentral lists this ribosomal RNA (320 nucleotides) under uncultured eukaryote. RNAcentral describes it as "partial 18S ribosomal RNA". It matches the Rfam family "Eukaryotic small subunit ribosomal RNA", at positions 1470 to 1796 of the family's 1831-position model. The record is from RNAcentral.